This 510-nucleotide ribosomal RNA is filed under the name Triticum aestivum (bread wheat). Its description in RNAcentral is "partial small subunit ribosomal RNA". Lineage: Eukaryota; Viridiplantae; Streptophyta; Magnoliopsida; Poales; Poaceae. The record is from RNAcentral.
AUGCAUGAGUUAACUAAGGAAAACAUUGAGCGCAUGAAUGCUAAAUAUAAACUUGCUGGAGAUAAGGGUAGAAAACAUGUUGUGUUUGCACCUGGAGAUCUUGUUUGGUUACAUUUGCGUAAGGAUAGAUUUCCUGAUUUGCGCAAAUCAAAGUUAAUGCCACGAGCUGAUGGUCCCUUUAAGGUGUUAGAGAAAAUAAAUGAUAAUGCAUAUAAACUUGAGCUGCCUGCAGAUUUUGGGGUUAGUCCCACUUUUAACAUUGCAGAUUUGAAACCUUAUUUGGGUGAGGAAGAUGAACUUCCGUCGAGGACGACUUCAUUUCAAGAAGGGGAGGAUGAUGAGGACAUCAAUACAAUUGUUACACCCACAGCCCCUGCUGCUAUACAUACUGGACCAAUUACUAGAGCUCGUGCACGCCAACUAAAUUACCAGGAAACAGACCCUCGUGGUCAGGUUGAUCGUGCUCCGGCGUGGUCAAUAACCUCUCGGAGUUGGUUUAGCGAUUGCUAA